CAGCAAAAUAGCACGAUGUCUUGGAUUUUGUAAUAAAAAGAAUGAAGCUCACUUGGCCGCCAUAUUUGAACUUUGAAGUCGCUCAUGACUGCUGCUAUGCGCGCAAAUUCAAGUCCAAAUGUGCUUUUAACAACCAUACGCAUUUUUUACUGGAGUGAGGAUUCUAGAUAGGGAAGACUACAACUUUUAUUGGUAAACUGAAGAGAUGGGUAUCAUUACUCACAC
Paramuricea clavata is the source of this 225-nucleotide non-coding RNA. NCBI's taxonomy places the organism in Eukaryota, Metazoa, Cnidaria, Anthozoa, Malacalcyonacea, Plexauridae. The record is from the annotation of a GenBank genome assembly.